AGUAAAGUCAGCUAAUAAAGCUAUCGGGCCCAUACCCCGAAAAUGUAGGUUUGAACCCCUCCUGUACUA
This 69-nucleotide transfer RNA is filed under the name Stenocercus varius. Its description in RNAcentral is "tRNA-Met". It matches the Rfam family "tRNA". Rfam says of the family: Transfer RNA (tRNA) molecules are approximately 80 nucleotides in length. Lineage: Eukaryota; Metazoa; Chordata; Lepidosauria; Squamata; Tropiduridae. The record is from RNAcentral.